This 396-nucleotide ribosomal RNA is filed under the name uncultured bacterium. RNAcentral's name for it is "bacterial SSU rRNA". It matches the Rfam family "Bacterial small subunit ribosomal RNA", at positions 147 to 518 of the family's 1533-position model. The record is from RNAcentral.
CACGCCGAAAGGUGUGCUAAUACCGGAUACGAAGGCGGCAUCGCAUGGUGCUGUUUUGAAAGAUGGCCUCUAUGUAUAAGCUAUCGCCGGGGGAUGGGCCUGCGUCCGAUUAGCUGGUUGGUGGGGUAACGGCCCACCAAGGCGACGAUCGGUAGCCGGUCUGAGAGGAUGAACGGCCACAUUGGGACUGAGACACGGCCCAGACUCCUACGGGAGGCAGCAGUGGGGAAUCUUCCGCAAUGGGCGCAAGCCUGACGGAGCAACGCCCGCGUGAGUGAGGAAGUUUUUCGGAACGUAAAGCUCUGUUGUACCCGACGAACGUGCCCUCUAUGAACAACGGAGGGUAAUGACGGUAGGGUACGAGGAAGCCACGGCUAACUACGUGCCAGCCGCGGC